AGAGUUUGAUCCUGGCUCAGAAUCAACGCUGGCGGCGUGCCUAACACAUGCAAGUCGAACGAGAAAGUGGAGCAAUCCAUGAGUAAAGUGGCGACCGGGUGAGUAACACGUGACUAACCUACCUUCGAGUGGGGGAUAACCUCGGGAAACCGGGGCUAAUACCGCAUAAGCUCGAGAGAGGAAAGCAGCAAUGCGCUGAGAGAGGAGCCCGCGGCCGAUUAGCUAGUUGGCAGGGUAAAAGCCUACCAAGGCAAAGAUCGGUAGCCGGCCUGAGAGGGCACACGGCCACACUGGCACUGAAACACGGGCCAGACUCCUACGGGAGGCAGCAGUGGGGAAUCUUGCACAAUGGGGGCAACCCUGAUGCAGCGACGCCGCGUGAGCGAUGAAGCCCUUCGGGGUGUAAAGCUCUUUCGUCAGGGAAGAUAGUGACGGUACCUGGAGAAGCAGCUGCGGCUAACUACGUGCCAGCAGCCGCGGUAAUACGUAGGCAGCGAGCGUUGUUCGGAGUUACUGGGCGUAAAGGGUGUGUAGGCGGUUGUUUAAGUUUGGUGUGAAAUCUCCCGGCUCAACUGGGAGGGUGCGCCGAAUACUGAGCGACUAGAGUGCGGGAGAGGAAAGUGGAAUUCCUGGUGUAGCGGUGAAAUGCGUAGAUAUCAGGAGGAACACCGGUGGUGUAGACGGCUUUCUGGACCGUAACUGACGCUGAGACACGAAAGCGUGGGUAGCAAACAGGAUUAGAUACCCUAGUAGUCC
Molecule: ribosomal RNA, 756 nt
Filed under: uncultured bacterium
Lineage: Bacteria
Description: bacterial SSU rRNA
Rfam family: Bacterial small subunit ribosomal RNA
Source: RNAcentral